Molecule: long non-coding RNA, 4665 nt
Organism: Chenopodium quinoa (quinoa)
Lineage: Eukaryota; Viridiplantae; Streptophyta; Magnoliopsida; Caryophyllales; Amaranthaceae
Exons: 4
Source: RefSeq, a predicted model, not a curated record
AUCUUUUCAAAAACUGGAUAAAUUAGAACCUUCUAGAGGAUUCUAGAAGCUAAUAUUAAAUCCUAAGGGAUUUAGGGAUGGUGUUAAGGUUAAUGGACCCUCCACAUGGUCAUUGAGUCGUAGGUAAGGCUCGGUUUGGGCUUAGUUUAGUAUUUUGGCCUUAACUUCCUCAUUAUAACUCGGAUUUGGGCUUAUAAUAUAUUGUUGGAAAUCUCUUUUCAAACCCCAUCCAACUACGCAAUCAUUUGACCCAGAUUAUGGACCAAAAUAGUCAAUAUUAGACAUUUUUAUAAAUUGGACACGAAAUGAAUGAUUUUCAGGAAACGAAAUGAACUAUUUUGGGUUUAAAGACACGAAAUAAAUGAUUUUGGCUAAAAAGAUUUUAGGAAAGAUUAGAAACGGUUAAGGCUAAAAGGAAACUCACGAGACUCUUCAACUCUUCACCUAACUCGAUAAUCAAAGACGUGAAGGUACUCAUCACUGGGUUUGGUUUUUGGGGAGACACAAUCAGGUGUCUACAGAAGCCCCCACUUUAACUAAGUUUGGAGAAACGUAAGUUUCAAAAACAAAAGUCAAAGUAGAUCGAUAGGGACGGAGAAUGAUUCAGAACGUUAUGCUAUCCUAAACCAUUCUUUUUAACUCCGAUACCUGCAGAAAAUGCUAGUUCUACAAAUAAAGGAGAUUUAAGGAGAAAAAAUGCGUAUAUGACACCAACGUAUUGGUAGCAAACACUUUUAGCAACUUUUCACGCCUUGAGAAAUCCACCGGAUGAUAAUUUUCCGCGCCUUGGGAAGACUGAUAUGAGAUAUAUUCCACGCCUCGGGAACCUCAUCGCGAAUCACUACGCUUCGAGAAACUCACAAGUGAAAGGUGACAAGCUUCCGCGCCUCGGGCAACAUGUCGUAGAUUCCUACGCCUCGAGCAACCUAUUGAAUGAUGAUUUUCCACGCCUCAGGAAGUCUAAUCUGGGACAGUCUCCACGCCUUGGGAAGCCUAUCGUGAACUCCUACGCCUUAAGCAAUUCACAAGUGAAAUUCCAUACUUCGGGAAUAACACUAAGCAUCCACGCCUUGGGGUACAUUCGUCGUCUUCUAUGCCUUGAGAAGUGCGCAAUGAUAUACAAUUUUCCACGUCUUGGGAGAACUUGUCUAGUAAUUACGUGUCUCUACGCCUCGAGAAACUUGCGACACAGUCAAUCAAGUUUUUUUUUUUGUUUUGAUAACCUCCACAUUCUCGAGGAGCGCCAUCGAAGACCACUACGCCUAGAGCCAUCUUCUCAAAUCAAGGUGACAACUUCCACAUUUUAGGGAACGCUGUUGAAGGCCAUUACGCCUCGAGCGGUCUUCUCAAAUUCUCUCGUCUUCACGCCUUGGAAGUGAUAGCUUCUCACGCCUUGGAAAACCUACUGUAAAACCUUACUCCUCAAGAUUUCACCAAGCUCAAAUCAAUAUCCUUAGAAAUCUUCCAUCUUAGGAAUUUCUUGAUUAUAAUCAAUCACUACUUAAAGGAUGUGCCUAAUCAAUACUCAAAUGUGCUCAAUUUAUCAAUAUGAUCGUCAUCAGGCCGAUCAUCAAUCAAAUCAAUUGCUUAGAGGCUAAAUGGCGCGCCAUAGAACUCAAACGGAUAAAUGUGGUCCACAAAGUCAGCCUAUGAGUCUUACAAAGUCCAACGCAGACAGCAGUAGACGCAUCGCGCAAUGCCAGUUUGUAUCGCGCCACGUUGGGAGUAUCGCCUUGCGAUAAAUUUGCAUUUUCCGCUGCUGCUUCCAUUUUGUUCGUUCGUUCGCGGAACUUCAAGUUGUACGUUCUUGCUUGUUUGUUGACAAAAUUCACUCAGAUCUUUUGCAAAUCUUUGCAUUCUCACUCUAUUUUACCGAUCUAUGUAAGUUUCGCUCAAACUUUUCUUAAUUUUGGUAAAUUCCAAGCGUUCUUAUUUGCGGUUUUCCGGAAAUUCGAACAUGUUUGUGCCUUUUUUAUUCAUUUUGGUUGAAUCUUUUGCCAUAAAAAUGCCUGUAUAUGUUUUUUUUUUGCUUUGUGAGUAACUUGAGACCAGAAUUACUUGAUUUGGUGAAGAAACGAGUAUUUUGCCAUUGGUGAACACUCUAGGUUCGUGAGUUGUAGCUUUUUCUUCAUGAUUUCUUGCUCUUUGUACUUAAUUUGUUGCAACAUUGGCCAUAAACUUGCAAGAAAUUGUUUUGGUGCUCAAAAUUUUUGUUAUUGUGCGAAUCAAAAUCAUGCUUUGUUUUUGUAUUUUGUACUCUAUUUUUCGACGAACAUAGUAUCAUGUGACUAUGCGAACUUAGAUACUAUAGAACGUUUAAUUUAUUGUUUUUAUGUCAACAACAAAAAAUAUUAUGGCUCGUCGUCAAGGCUCCGGCUCACGUUCCCACUCGUCCCACCAAGAGGACGAGCCCGUAGGCGAUGGCGACGGUGCUUCUACCAGCCGGGGGUGGUCAUUCCCUGAGUGGGACGAGCACGCCCUAGCUUUUCUACCAGUCUAUCACAUUUCCCAGCGCGUCCGGCUGGGUAUCACCGAUGAGCAUGUUCGUUGUCACAGCUCAGGCAACGAUAGCAUUUCGUACAUCUAUUACCAUUACAUUGGGAGGAAUGAGGCGAUGAGGGCUCUCUGGGAGUCUUGCGGGUUGACUCCCCUUUUUCGAGUCGCUAUGGUUGUUCAUCCUUGGCGGGAGAACCGUCGUAUUGUUCGGGGUGUCAUGGAGUAUUUCUGGGACACAACGAACACUUUUCACUUUUCAUGGGGCGAGAUGACCAUCACCCCUCUCGACUUCUCCGUUAUCACUGGCCUAGAAUUUUGGCCCACCUCACUUCCUGCAGACGGGAUGCAUAGUCUAGUUUCUCCCGAGAUUAUGGAGCUGCUAGGCUUUAUUGUCCACCGAGCCGCUGCUGAGGCUCAGAAUUUAAACACCAGCAUGAGGUCAGCCCACAGGACACUACUUACGGAGGCUUUAGAUGAUGAUGCGACCACCCAGGAGCAGCGGGUGUGCAUCUUUGUUCUUAUUCUCCUGUCGGGGACUUUCUCUUCUAACAGGGGAAGUCGUGUCUUGCUACACUAUCUCUCCUUCGUGCAUGAUCUUCAGCUGAUGGGCACGUGCGACUGGGCAGCCUUGGCUAUGCCAACUUGCUUUUGGAAUUGCGGUUGGCCUGUCGUUAGCGACAGUGUAGUUCAAAGAUUACUCUCUCUAGUUUCUGGAAGAUCGUAGAGGUAUAUGUCCUUCUAUUUUGGUGAGUUUAAUUUUCAUCUCGAUAUUUAUCGAGUCUUAGGUUUUCAAUCUCCUUGUACGUUUGGCUCUACGAGUACUUCCCUUCUUUGGCGCCGACGAGGCCUCGAGCUAGAGGGCUCCCAAUCGCCACCAGCUGGCAAGGACGCCGUGCUGGCUUAGUUACUACUACUUCUGUUAUUCUUGAGGUAAAGAUUUUUCCUUUUGUUUUCUUGUUUCUUAGGAUUUCAUCACAAAUACUUAACUUAUUCUUUUUUGUUGUAGCGCCUUGAUGUUCAGUAUCGCCCAUGGGCUGAUUUGGGUGAUUUUAGGCUGGCUUCUCAAUAUACUACUGAGAGGCGUUUCUUCUAGGGUAACUACGAUGUAGUAUGGUACCUGGGCGAGAGGGUGGCCAUUCAGCACUCCUCGACUGUUCAUGUAGUUCCUGCUGACCCUCCUGCUCAGAUGAUGAGUUAGGAGCGGCUCCGGAUUCAUGUUUCCACCGGAGCGAUUUGUGAGGACGGGCAUAUAUAUAGUUACCCCGAUUGUCCUUACGCGGAGGUGUUUCUUCCUCGGCUAGCUCUGCCACUCUACUACGAGGAGGAGGAGUUGGAGGAGUUUGUGGAGUUUGUUCCUCUAUGCAUGUCCAUCACUUAUCAAGGGACUUAUGGACCUGUUGAGGAAAUGAUUCCUCUGGCCCCGGAGGAGUGGCGAUUAGUGUCCCAGUCUAUUCCUCGUCACGUGACUUAGUUCUCUCGCGAGGUGGUGACGCGGAUGGCAGCGACCAUGGAUGCCUUUCGGUACCAGCUGGUGAGAUGGAGUCGCUGAGUGUCGUGUCGAGUACGAAUGGCGUUGUGCCGCCACGCACUCGUUCGAGGCCAAAGAGCUCGAGGGAACGAGGGGGAUCGAGGCGUCGACGCACCUUUUUGGAGAUCCCAUGUAGGGAGGAGGUGCGCAGCCAGGCCGCGGUUAAGGAUGAUAGCAGCUCGUCAUCAGGGGAUGUGAGGCCACUUGGUUAUGGUACUCCGUUGCUCUUUCCUCACCAGGUCCCCGAGUGCUUUUGUGGCUGGUCCAUCAUCUCGGCCCGGUGGUGGGACGUACGAGGUUGGCUUGUUGUCGCAGCAGCCAGGGCCCACUCCUUUUGCUCGGGGGAGUUUUUAGCAGUACGAGCCACACAGAGGUACUCAGUGGACUGGUCCUAUAAUCACAAUCCCGACAAGUGGUGGUGCUGAUACUGAUCAGGCGUGGACUCCACAUGGUGCAGAGUUCUAUGAUACUUUUGGCAUUCCUCUGGAUUUGCGUCCUCCAGCGCCAUAGUUGCUCCUGCAUGUAUUUUUUGGACAUUCUAGGACUUUGCACACACAUUGUAUAUUUUAUCAACUCUUUUAUUAGACUUAUGUGUGUACACUAGACUUUUAUGUAUAUUGUUUAGUCUUUUUAUUUUCUUA